GUUUUAUCUAUCAGAGAUCAUUGCUUUGGUGAUUGAUUCGAUGGGUAGUCAUGGAUACAGCACACUACUGAUUACACAGUCAACGACGUGUGCCUCACCACGCAAUAAUUACUCCAAAUGCAUAUUCUCAUUAUUUAUUACAUACCUUUCAACUUCUGUUGGAAACUGGAACAAGGAUUUUCCUCCCUUCCAUUUUACAGUAAACAAGGUAUUUAUUGAUGACAUAUGUUUCUUAUCGUGAAAAAAAGUUGAUUCACAGUAGGAGUACUAGUAGUGGGAAAACUUGCAAAGAAAUCGAUUUCUAGCUAUUUAAGCCAAGUAAGUUUUUUAUUUUUGUGAAUUAGCUAGCCAGCUAGAUAUCUACUUGGGACAAGCUAGCUACCGCCAAGAAGAGGAUGAAGACCAUUUGUGCCUUGGUGAAUAUGCAUGACGAUCAUUAGGAAAACAUCCACUAUCUAGUGCACUCGUCCUAAACAACAUAAUCUCUAUAAACAAUUAGGUAAGUCAUGUCCACCAAACUUAGUGCACUCUGUUAUAAAUUCGAGUUUUGGAAACAGAAAACUGUAUGAAGAUUGUUAAAGUUGCGUCAAUUCGUUUCUGGUAUCAGAACAAAAUAGUCAGCACAUAGUAACUUCUGAUUUAGCUGUACUUUAAUUAAUGCAAACACGUGUAUGGUAAAUAUGUGGUUCGCAUAUAUACACGGUCUCUCUGUGACACCUCGCAGGGCAGACAGAGAAGAGAGCGACACAUCCUAUUGUUCUCUCUUAUAUACUCUGACAGUGAUAGUUCCUGCUCAAUGCUGGCCUGUCAGAGGGAGGAGGAGCGUGGUUUAAACUUGCUCCUCCUAUCGUCGGCGUGCAGGCUGGUCCCAACCUCGUGACGCACUUCCUGUCGCCGGGUGUAGUUCUUGUCUUCAGCAGUUGACUUAUCCGGAGUUGAUAUAUUUAAUAUUGUAGCAUAGCUUCCCCAGUAUAUUAUAUAAGUUAUGCAAACAAAUAGCCAGUUCAACCCUAACAAGAUCAAAUGUUUCCUUUAUGAGAAAAUUAGCAUAGCAUAUCGGCCAAAAUCCAUCUAGCUCAAUCUUCUCCCACUGCUGUUCACUGGGCUUCAUAUUUCACUGGGCUUCCUCUCACUAACCGGAUGUCUCACAUUUAUACAUCCAGUGAAAUAUCUGUCUCAUCUCUCUGUGCCUCUACGGUCACGGUUGCGUUUCCGGAACAUUAUGGGCCGUACGCGUCUCUGGUCCAACAAAAAUAUGUUCCCGGUAAAGCAGGACGUCAGCCACCACCAGAGAGGUUUCUUUUUAAAUUCCUUGGUCACUGUGGACCUUGUUACCAUGACAACAUUGCCCAAUCAAACGCAUUACCUCUAUCAACAUGGACGAAUUGACAGUUGAGUUGUUUAAAGUCUUAGUUAGAUUGCACAUGGGUGGACUUUAUUUAAGUGUCACAUGAUCUGUCACAUAAUCUCAGUAUUUAUACAACUGUUCUGAAAGGCCCCAGAGUCUGCAACACCACUAAGCAAGGGGCACCACCAAGCAAGCAGCACCAUGAAGACCAAGGAGCUCUCCAAACAGGUCAGGGACAAAGUUGUGGAGAAGUACAGAUCAGGGUUGGGUUAUAAAAAAAUAUCCUAAACUUUGAACAUCUCAGCGGAGCACCAUUAAAUCCAUUAUUAAAAAAUGGAAAGAAUAUGGCACCACAACAAACCUGCCAAGAGAGGGACGCCAACCAAAACCCAUAGACCAGGCAAGGAGGGCAUUAAUCAGAGAGGCAACAAAGAGACCAAAGAUAACCCUGAAGGAGCUGCAAAGCUCCACAGUGAAGAUUGGAGUAUCUGUCCAUAGGACCACUUAAGCCGUACACUCCACAGAGCUGGGCUUUACAGAAGAGUGGCCAGAAAAAAAUGAGCAAACACAUUUGGUGUUCAUCAAAAGGCAUGUGGGAGACUCCCCAAACAUAUGGAAGAAGGUACUCUGGCCAGAUGAGGCUCAAAUGUAGCUUUAUUUAACCAGGAAAUCCAAAUGAGGUCAAUUGAUUUUUUUCCUUGUUGUCUGUUACGUUCCCCAGUUUCUGUUUUGGGUUUGUAUGUGUUUGGAUGUGUAUGUUUCAGGAAAUGGCUUCCAGGAUUCAAAGCAGCUGAUUGGUCGGCCCCAUCGAAGAUUGGAGCUCUGACCCCUCCCUCUCGUCAGGGGAUACAGCUGUCUGCAAUUACCGACUCCUGCAGCUUGAAAAGCCAGUGUUCCUUUGUUAGGAGAGAGAGCUUCUUUGAUGUCCUGUGUUGGUUGUUGUUCAGAGACAGGUUUUGUAAAGUAUUUUGUAGUUGGUCCUGCUGAGGUAUGUCUAGGCCAAAAGGACUGUGUUUGUGAUUAUUGAAAUUGUUCACUUUAAGUUAGUAAUUAUUCUGUUUGUGUUCCCAGUGGGGAAGGGGAAGGCACCUUGGGAGUUUUUAGGCAAGAGGCCUGCGGGCAUACAUAUACCCGUAGUAUGUACUCUGUCUAUGCACACUAGGUAAGACCUGGGCGGACCACCCCCUGUAUUUUGGUUAGCGCACCAGGUGACAUUAAGAAUAGGUAAGUAGUGGGUAGGAGAGGGGGCUCUUUAAUGUUUACUUUCUUUGCUUUGGUUCCAUCCAGCCCCUUUUCCCCAAAUUACCCUGUGAAGGAAGAAUAAAUUCCCUGUUAAUGGUAAUAUUUUCUGCCUCUGUCAUCCUUACCUGCACCUACAGUCACACACCUCUCUUUCACUCCACCUACACCUCUCUUUCACUCCACCUACACCUCUCUUUCACUCCACCUACACCUCUCUUUCACUCCACGGGGAGUUGAGUGUAGCAGGGUGUCGCGUUUCCCCCCUCCAAGAGGUGUGCGCAACAUUGUCCAUUAACACCUUAACCAAAGAGCACCGUCAACCUAUGUUUCAGUGAUCUACUGACUAGUAUAUCCUUUAGACGGAUUGUUCUUCUGUUAUUGCCAGGAGACUGUUACCAUGGCCGCCAUUACCAUGGCCACCAUAACCCUGUCACUGCUUCUCCCCGCUGUUCUGCUCAGAACACUGACAGAGUGUAUGGAGUGAUGCCAGACCCCCUGUGAGAUUGCUAGAGAUGCUGCGGGGGCCUAACUUGAUUGGAGACUUCACCCUGCAGUGUGACAACCAGGGACAAUACACCCCUCAGCAGUGGCCAGGCUCUGCAGUUUCUGUUGGUGUGGACAGAAGAGCCCUGGUACUGAGUCCACCAGACACUGCUCACAUAAACUGUGAGAGGACAGGUAGGACGAGUAUGUGUUUGUUUAUAUUAGUGUGCCUUUAUACACUCACUGUACAAAACAUUAAGAACACAUGUGACGACCCUCCCACUCUAUCUGCUGUGUUCUCUCUUUGCUCUUGUUUCCUUAUUAGGAUGCCGGUGGGCGGGUCGUCAGCUACAUGGGAAACACCUGGGCCCAGGUGUGUCCCAGGAUAAAUAGACCUCUUCCACAGUCAUUGAGACUUUCUCCAUGCAGACACUAUGGUUUAUUUGUAUAUAGGUUACUUUAGUUUUUUCAAUUGUUUAAGCACAAUUUUGAAAACAGGGCCCGGUUUGUCAAAACACUACACACAAUUAGCACAACCCUACACCAAAGUAGCACAACAACACUUUAGUCAAAACUAUACACGACUACAUAAAAACAAUAUUUUGUUACCAUACGAAACACACAUUUCAUAUGACUUCAAUCUUUUUGAACCAGUUACAUACUGCUGUUGCUAACGUAAAACACUUUUAGCAAGUCUAAUUGUCAGUGAUUAGAGUACUGUAAAUGAAGUACACAGAGAAAGUGAAACUAUACAAACACUACACAAGACCAAUGCUGCAGACUGAGGAAAAUAUCAUUUAUUUCUCUCCAUAUACCCAAAUAUGUCAACAUGGAGAAUCACAACACAUGUCCCAGUUUUCAUGCUACUACAGUAGUGUGCAUAACACUUACCUCAGCAAACAGACAAACGUAAAAUACUGUAUCCAGUACAGGUUACAAUUACAGUAAAUAACAACAAAAAAUAAUCUGAAAAAAUGGACAAUGUUGUACAGACAAUACUACAGUAAACAUACUAUACAUUAUCUCUUCGCCUAGCUGGAUCUGGCCAGAGAAUUUAAUCAACAUCACAAGCAAUAUCCUUAUUAGCAAGAUAACGCGGGAAGAACCGUCUUGAAUGUCUAAUCCAUCCUUGCACAGCUGCGGCGUCGACUUGGCCACAGGCGUCCUCCAUGGCCUGAAUGAGGGGUACCUGAGCCUGGGGCUGGAGAUCGUAAACCUUCCACCGCCAUGCAGAGAAACUCUUCGAUAGGGUUUAGAAACGGAGAGUAUGAUGGAAGGUAUAGUACUGUCAACUGUGGAUGGUGUUGAAACCAGUUCUAGACCAAAGCAGAGGUGAAAUGACACAUUGUCCCAGAUGACAGUAUUGCAUCUGGUGCAUUUCAUUACCUGCUGUGACGAUGUGGUGCAAUCGGUCCAAAAAUGCGAGAAUGUGAGGUGUGUUGUAAGGGCCUAUUUUGGCAUGAUGGAGGAGAACCCCAUGCUGUGAAAUGGCAGCGCAAAGGGUGAUGUUACCCACACGUUUCCCUGGGACAUUGAUUAUAGCCCUGUGGCCAAUGAUAUUUCUGCCUCUCCUUCUUGCUUUUGUGAGGUUGAACCCUGCCUCAUCAAUAUAUAUGAAUUCAUGCAGGAUUUCCUCAGCAUCCAUCUGCAAAACUCCCUGAAAUACAGUGAAAGACAAGAUUGUGUAGUUCAGGAUAGGUCUAGUAUACAGUCAAUGUAAAAAAGUAAUGUGUGCAGUAUGCAACAUCACAGUGCUAAAGUGAACAAUACAAACCUCCACAUACUCAUGCUGCAGCCGUUUGACCCUCUCUGAAUUCCGCUCAAAAGGCACUGGAUAAAGUUGUUUCAUUUGAACCUGAUGUCUUUUCAGGAUGCGUGCCAGUGUUGACUGAGAGGCCUGAUGGACAUUGAGAAUGGCAUGGUCACCGAUAAUGUUGGCUUGUAGUUCUGAGCCUGAUAGGAUUAUUGGCCAAAACCAUGUUUAUUAUCUCUCUUGUGCUUGCGUGAAUAUGGGCCCCCUUCCUCUUUGUCGUUCCCGACCCUCAAUCAUAUGUAGAGAAUAAUACAUGUAACUUACUGUACAAUGUCACAGGAAGGGGUAUCACAAGUGUUGAUAUGGUGCAUACAAUAAGCGGCUGAUUACUGUAACUGUAGACAGAUCUUCUUUUACCUGUUUUCCUGUCAAAAAGUCCUUAUGACAGAUGCCACUGUAUAUCUGCUAAGAUUUGGCUGAACUCAGUCCAGCCUCCCUCAGCAUCAAUCCGUGGUUCACAACAUGGUCCACUAGUGUUGCACGAAUGUCAAUUGGAUAAGUUUGAUUCUCUUAUUCUUUGUGCACGUUCUACUCCUGCUUCAGGUCUUCCUCUGGCUCGGCCUCUUCCUCUACCUCCUUCUCCUCUGUGUACUCCUCCUCUCACCCUCACUCUUCUUCUGACUCCUUCCAUUUUGGUUGAAGGCAGGUAAACCUACCUGCUGCAUUUUUAUAGUGCUUAAACCUGAUUGGUGUGUCUACAAUUUAGCAAUCGUGUUUGUGCACCUGAUGGCUGUGUUUAACUUCUCUACGGCCGGCGGGACGAAAUCGUCCCACCUACGUAACAGCCAGUGGAAUCCUGUGGCGCGUUAUUCAAAUACCUUAGAAAUGCUAUUACUUAAAUUUCUCAAACAUAUUACUAUUUUACAACAUUUUAAAGACAAGACUCUCGUUAAUCUAACCACACUGUCCGAUUUCAAAAAGGCUUUACAACGAAAGCAAAACAUUAGAUUAUGUCAGCAGAGUACCCAGCCAGAAAUAAUCAGACACCCAUUUUUCAAGCUAGCAUAUAAUGUCACAAAAACCCAGAAGACAGCUAAAUGCAGC
This 5930-nucleotide long non-coding RNA is filed under the name Salmo salar (Atlantic salmon). Its description in RNAcentral is "lncRNA (ENSSSAG00000097916.1, ENSSSAG00000102015.1)". Lineage: Eukaryota; Metazoa; Chordata; Actinopteri; Salmoniformes; Salmonidae. The record is from RNAcentral.